UGACGAGUGGCGAACGGGUGAGUAAUGCGUCGGAACGUGCCGAGUAGUGGGGGAUAACGCAGCGAAAGCUGUGCUAAUACCGCAUACGAACUGAGGUUGAAAGUGGGGGACCUUCGGGCCUCACGCUAUUCGAUCGGCCGACGUCUGAUUAGCUAGUUGGUAGGGUAAAGGCCUACCAAGGCGACGAUCAGUAGCGGGUCUGAGAGGAUGAUCCGCCACACUGGGACUGAGACACGGCCCAGACUCCUACGGGAGGCAGCAGUGGGGAAUUUUGGACAAUGGGGGAAACCCUGAUCCAGCCAUGCCGCGUGUCUGAAGAAGGCCUUCGGGUUGUAAAGGACUUUUGUCGCCC
Molecule: ribosomal RNA, 352 nt
Filed under: beta proteobacterium '13.5 MW-9'
Lineage: Bacteria; Pseudomonadati; Pseudomonadota; Betaproteobacteria
Description: bacterial SSU rRNA
Rfam family: Bacterial small subunit ribosomal RNA
Source: RNAcentral